This 221-nucleotide unclassified non-coding RNA is filed under the name plant metagenome. RNAcentral's name for it is "partial contains 5.8S ribosomal RNA, internal transcribed spacer 2, and large subunit ribosomal RNA". The record is from RNAcentral.
GAUGUUCUCCUGCGCCUUCAUGUCGUAGCGCACGAAGUCCUGGAAGAUGACGCCCACCUCGCGGUGGUAGUCUUCGGGGUCGUACUGCGAGAGCGGCACCCCGUCGAGCAGGAUCUCCCCGCGGGUGGGCUCGUACAGCCGCAGCAUCAGCUUGAUGAGCGUCAUCUUCCCCGCCCCGUUCUCCCCCACCAGGGCCAGCCGUUCCCCCGGCGGGAUGCGGA